Long non-coding RNA from Trachymyrmex septentrionalis, 91 nucleotides. RefSeq lists it as uncharacterized. The transcript is spliced from 3 exons. NCBI's taxonomy places the organism in Eukaryota, Metazoa, Arthropoda, Insecta, Hymenoptera, Formicidae. The record is from RefSeq and is a predicted model, not a curated record.
UUUUAUUGAAUGUAUAUUAAGUCAGUAGGUCAACAUCUUACUGUGACCGAUACGGCGCUGAUUUCAAUGUUUAAAAUGUAAAUAAAUUUUA